This 583-nucleotide ribosomal RNA is filed under the name uncultured eukaryote. Its description in RNAcentral is "eukaryotic LSU rRNA". The stretch from base 212 to 365 matches the Rfam family "5.8S ribosomal RNA". The record is from RNAcentral.
UCUUGGUCAUUUAGAGGAAGUAAAAGUCGUAACAAGGUCUCCGUUGGUGAACCAGCGGAGGGAUCAUUAUCGAGUUAUUCAACUCCCAAACCCUAUGUGAACUUACCACUUGUUGCUUCGGCGCGCGCUUCGGCGCCGCCGAGGACACUUAAACUCUUUGUUUUUAUAAGCAUUUCUGAGUGGCCGAAAGGCAAAAAUACAAAUGAAUCAAAACUUUCAACAACGGAUCUCUUGGUUCUGGCAUCGAUGAAGAACGCAGCGAAAUGCGAUAAGUAAUGUGAAUUGCAGAAUUCAGUGAAUCAUCGAAUCUUUGAACGCACAUUGCGCCCGCCAGCAUUCUGGCGGGCAUGCCUGUUCGAGCGUCAUUUCAACCCUCGAGCCCGACUCUUUUGAGGACGGCUCGGCGUUGGGGGACGGCAGACUCCCCCCGGCAUCUCGCCGGGGACGCCGCCCCCGAAAUCUAGUGGCGGCCCUCCGAGGCGACCUCUGCGUAGUAACUUGUUCUCGCACCGGAAAGCUCAGAGCGGCCACGCCGUAAAACCCCAACUUCUUUCAGGUUGACCUCGAAUCAGGUAGGACUACC